RNAcentral lists this ribosomal RNA (251 nucleotides) under uncultured bacterium. Its description in RNAcentral is "partial 16S ribosomal RNA". It matches the Rfam family "Bacterial small subunit ribosomal RNA", at positions 524 to 776 of the family's 1533-position model. The record is from RNAcentral.
GACGGGGGGGGCAAGUGUUCUUCGGAAUGACUGGGCGUAAAGGGCACGUAGGCGGUGAAUCGGGUUGAAAGUGAAAGUCGCCAAAAACUGGCGGAAUGCUCUCGAAACCAAUUCACUUGGGUGAGACAGAGGAGAGUGGAAUUUCGUGUGUAGGGGUGAAAUCCGCAAAUCUACGAAGGAAGGCCAAAAGCGAAGGCAGCUCUCUGGGUCCCUACCGAUGCUGGGGUGCGAAAGCAUGGGGAGCGAACAGG